UUGACCUCGGAUCAGGUAGGGAUACCCGCUGAACUUAAGCAUAUCAAAAGGCGGAGGAAAAA
This 62-nucleotide ribosomal RNA is filed under the name Diplodia seriata. Its description in RNAcentral is "partial 28S ribosomal RNA". It matches the Rfam family "Eukaryotic large subunit ribosomal RNA", at positions 1 to 61 of the family's 3401-position model. The record is from RNAcentral. Lineage: Eukaryota; Fungi; Ascomycota; Dothideomycetes; Botryosphaeriales; Botryosphaeriaceae.